Molecule: non-coding RNA, 249 nt
Organism: Candidatus Accumulibacter
Lineage: Bacteria; Pseudomonadati; Pseudomonadota; Betaproteobacteria
Source: Rfam
GAGGUCCCGUCCCGGUAGCCGCUAGCCACGGGCCGGGUAUCGAGCCUUGCAGGUAUAGUGGUAACACUAUGCUUGAUGCGUAGGCGCGAAAGCAGGCGAGGAGCAAUGGUAACGGAUAAUGCCGACCGUGAAGGUUAAGAGUCCCGAAAUGACCGCUUUGGAAUGGGCCGAUGGUUUCAAGACGCCAGCAGGCAACAGCGCAACCCACACUAUGGCAAGUGAGUUGUGCCCACCCGGGAUCGACGACCG